This is a long non-coding RNA of Eriocheir sinensis (Chinese mitten crab), 2667 nucleotides long. RefSeq lists it as uncharacterized. The record is from RefSeq and is a predicted model, not a curated record. The transcript is spliced from 7 exons. NCBI's taxonomy places the organism in Eukaryota, Metazoa, Arthropoda, Malacostraca, Decapoda, Varunidae.
UGACUCAUAGGGUUUGGCGUGAGUCCCCCUAUAGCCUGGUGGCCUCCAACACCCUGCUGGUGGCCUGACCGUCCUGGCCCUCCCUGGCCAGCCGUCCACCACCACCUUCACCCGGCAGCCGCUGCAGCGGAACAAUGGGAGGAUCACAGGCUACGUGAUAUUCCUCACCAUGGACCAAACUGUCAGUGACUGGGUGACGGGGGAAGUGACGGGGGACUGGCUCACCCUCACCGUCCAUGGACUGACGCCUUCAAGGAAGUAUUUGCACAAGAUGCACUCUCACAAUGUCAAAGGUUUUGGUCCAUUCUCCUCCGUGGAAAGCUUCACGACUUCCAGCUGUUGACAAGAGCAUCGGUGAGCCCCCUGGCUGGUGUGUGGAGCGAGAGGCCUGAUUGUGCUGGUGAUCGCUGGCGUGGCAGGAGCCAUGACCAGCUGGGGGCCUUCUUGGCCACCACACUGUACUGCCGCGGGUCAAGGCGGAGCCCAGGCCAAGCAUUGUUCUUGGCGGCAGCUGCAGUGAGAGCAACAAGCCUGGCGUCCAGCCUCCAGACCUGUGGAUCCAUCACGGUCACUUGGAGCUGAAGAACUUUGACAAGGGUGAGCGCAGCAACUCCCCCAACCACGCCUCCAUCAUCCAGCACACAGCUGAAGAUCAGCAACAAUUAGAUGACGGCACUGGGCCAGAGGCUUGGGGCACUCCGGGAGGCUCUGCAGGACAAGGCCAAGGAAGCAAAGAGUGGCCAGGCUGUGAGACCGAGGCACAGAGAGCCAAGACGGCCGAGGGUUUAUCAAGACUGACACCAACGUGACGGUCAGAGUGUUAGAGGCCUCAGCAUCACCAGACCUUGGGAGCAGCAGCAGCCCAGUGCCAACACCAGGCCACAGGACCCCAGGCCGCCCAGACCACUGCCAGUGCCGGGGAUCUUCAGACCCGUCUCCAGCCUUAGGGAAUGGAGGGCGGAGGGCUGCAGUGGCGGUGGCGGCUAUAGUAAUGUGUCAGCAGUAUUUUUUUUCUGCCUCUAGGUGUGGUAGUCUUUCUUGGUGGUGGGUCCCGUCGGCCAGCCCCAGCCCUCUAUAGUGCAGGGAAGUGUUUAUAUUGGUGCCACCUUGCCUGGCUCACCUUUGAUCCUCUUUUAGAAAGAGAAUCUAGAGUCUGGGUUGACAGGCGUCCACCAGGACAGCAUGUGGGUAGUGUUGGGCCACUCGGCGGUGACUGAAAAAUACUGUCUAUGGUGGCGGGCGGGACCCAAACCCCCAUCCUGCACUGGUAGUCACUUUUUGUGUCAAUUAUUUAUUAUUAUUAUUAUUAUUAUUAUUAUUAUUAUUAUUAUUAUUAUUAUUAUUAUUAUUAUUAUUAUUAUUAUCAUCUUUUUUAUGUCCUAGCCUAUAGCAGCGGCAGGCUUUGGUCAGUGGCCUGGCGGUGGGCCCGCGGUGUUUUCAGUGGCAGGGUUGUAAUUCCUGGGGCUGGAUAGAGAUUCCCAAAUAUCUUCUGCAUCGGCCUCCAAAUGCCCCGAAGAGUGCUGGGUUUUCAAAAAUUUCCCCCACCUGAGGAUGCCUUCUAGACCCCCAAAAUAUCCGCCAAAAUUAGUCCUGAGUGGUGGUGGUGGUGUUGAAAGUGUUAAUGACAGUGAUGAGAAGCAUUGUUAGGGGUGCUGGUGUGUAGUGAUGAAGUGGUGGUGAUGUCAGUCUGUGGUGGUGUUGAAAACAAGCCUCUUUUAAACGGUGAUGAGUGGUGGUGAACGGUGUUUUCUGUACUGGUGGUGAUGAAAAUUGGUGUUGAUGGCCUUUGUGGAGGUGUUGAUGGCAGUGGUGGUGAAAUAUAGGCAUUUUUAGAGGUUCUGGUGUUGAUGGUGGAGGUACUUGUGUUGGUGGUGAUGAAAAUUGGUGUUAUAGCCCUGGUGGUGAUCUCUAUACCUAAUGGUGUUGUAAAUAUGCAUCUUUAGUGGUGUGGCAGUGCUGAAAGCAGUGGUGAUGAAAAAUUGGUGUCUAGUGGUGUUGUGUGGUGGUGAAACAUGCAUCAACACCAUUUUUGUCCAUUCCAAAAUUUCAUGUCUAUCUAUUGCAGUUCAUUUUUAUUUUUAUUACUUCAACAGUAAAUUAGAAUGCUCAAGGUAAUGGAAAGAAAUGAAGAAAGAGAGAGACAGGAGAGGAUAAAAAUAGCUUAAUCUAUCUAUCCCACUCUACUCUGCAAGGUGUACAAUAGGGAACAUAGUCUUUCAUUACACCCAGUCCUUCAGCUCUUAGGGAUGGCCCCAGAGUCCAGUCUUAGCAGUUAAGUCCCCUAAGAGAGAGAGAGAGAGAGAGAGAGAGAGAGAGAGAAUCAAAUAAACAUUAGAGUAAACGAAAAUGGAAAAAAAGGGAGAGAGAGGGGGGAGGGGUCGUUCAUUAUCAUGGCUAUUAUUAUUAUUAUUAAGGGAGUCUAGUUGGUCAUUAUUAGCAUUUCCUAUCUCCCAUUUCCUUAUAUUGAUAAAAUUUGUAUUUAUUUUGCAGAUUUGAGUCAACAGGAGGAAGAAGAAGAAGGAGGAGGAGGAGGAAGUGAUAAUAAGAGGAAUACCAAAAGAAGAACAAGAGUUUGAACAGUAGUAAUAGUAUUUGCCUCUACACAUUCUCUCUCUCUCUCUCUCUCUCUCUCUCUCUCUCUCUCUCUCUCUCUCUCUCUCUCUCUCU